RNAcentral lists this long non-coding RNA (19921 nucleotides) under Ananas comosus (pineapple). RNAcentral describes it as "long non-coding RNA (ACOM_LNC014317)". The record is from RNAcentral. Lineage: Eukaryota; Viridiplantae; Streptophyta; Magnoliopsida; Poales; Bromeliaceae.
UUAAUUAAUUAUAUAUUAAUUAACUAUAUUGAUUUAUUAAUUUAUUGUUUUUUCUUAUUUUUAAUAAUAAAAUAAAGAGUUUAUAAAUUAGUAUCGUGUAAAUCUAAUUUGAUAAUUUUAUUUGAGAAAAGCUAUAGAUAUACUUUAAAGUGAGAUGUAUAUCUUACACCUACUUUAUUCUAAAAUCAUUUGCCACAUCAAUUUUUUUAAAAUUUUACUAAAAAUUAAUUUGAUUUUUAUCAAUUUAGGAUGGAUCACCGGUGUAAGAUAUACACCCUUUUUAGGAUGUAUAAAAAGUAUUUUUUAUUUUGUUUUAUUAUUUAUUCAAGCAUAAUUUUAUAUAAUUAGAUUACUAUACUACUAAGAGUAUCAAGUGCUUGCUGCUAUUAGGUUUUUGGCCUCUAGAUAAAAAGACGUAUGUUAGAUGUGGUUAGGAUGAUAAUGGUUUUGAUUAGAACGAUAGUCGUCUUCUAAAAUUGAAUGUUGAUUAGUUGAAUGGUAUAAUAAUAUAACGGAUGGAAAUGAUCGAAAAGAUAGAUUUAACGGUAAAAAAUAGACUCUAAUUUUUUAAGUUUUAUAAAAAAAGUAUAAUUAAAAUUUACAUUUUAAUUGAUGCUGUAAUAAACUAUAAAUCCAACAUAUCAUAAAAUUAAACUAUUUAUAUUAGAGAUGGGAAGAAAAGUGAGAUGAGGACAAUUUCUAGUUAGUAGUAUGGGAAAAAAUAAAAAAUAAAAAAUAAAAAAAGGAAGCUUCUCUUAUAUAUAUAAUGCACUAAUGUCCAUGAAAUGGUUGUUGGGUUUGAUGGAGUCCAAAACCCUCUAUCAUAUUAUUCAAUCACACCGACCGUUCCUAGAGCAAAUGACAAAGGACUUGGUGGUUGGUACCCGAGACUCAAAUUCGAAUCCUAGUUGAUUCACAUUUCUAUCUAAGUUUAUUUCUAAAUGAAAUAAACGAAGCGGGUAGCGUGCUAUCUAUCUCUAAAAAAAAAAAAAAAGUUAUUCAAUCACUAGUAAAAUCAUAAAUCAUUUCAAUUCAAGGCUUUAAUGAUAUAAAAAGGGAAAACUUCAAAAACCCCCCCUGUGGUUUCGUGCAUUCUCAUUUUGCUACCCUGUGGUUUAAAACGUAUCAAUUUGCCCCUCUGUGGUUUCGUUUUUAUCUUUUUGUUAUCAAUUUUAUUAUUAUUUUUUUUUAAAAUCAGUGACAAAGUUAAAAUUAAAGGAUACUAAAGUGACUAUUCGAUAAAUAUAGAUGGUUAUCUGAAGUUUUUUGUAUAUAAUUUAACGAAAUAUUAACGAAAAAGUUUCCGAAAAGAUAAAAAUGAAACCACAGGGGGGUAAAUUGAUACGUUUUAAACCACAGGAUAGCAAAGUGAGAAUGCACGAAACUACAGGGGAGGUUUUUGAAGUUUUCCCAUAUAAAAAUGAAUAUAUGUUUAAGAUUUGGGAUAAAAUAUCGUGAAUUAACCUUGUAGGUUUCUAAUUCUAUGUGUGCAUUUGGCUUCAAGAGGUCAAAUUUCGCAUCUGGUGAUUGCAAUGCAUUUUUUUUUUUUUUUUUUUUUUUUCCUUUGGAAAAGCAGAAGGCAAAAAAAAAAGACUUGAGAUAGUAGCAUUGACCUGUUCUUUUCUCAUGAACGGUCGGCGGUGCUGUGGGACCCAGGGCACCAAUCUGCAAGUUGGAAACGUUCAAACCCGAAAUAAGUGACGCAGUGGAUAAGACCAUGUUUGGUGACGCUGAUGCCUUUUUGAUUUUUUUUUUUUAAAGAAAAAUCUAUUUUAAAAAAAAAAGAAUAAAGAGGCGUGGACCGGUCCAAAUACAGAUUAUAAAUUGAAGCACUUUUGGCCCGGCCUAUGUAGAUGUGGGCUUUGGGCCGUUCGAUCUUUUCCUGGUUCAGCAGCUUCGUUCCCUCCCAUUCGACCAAACCCCCUCCCACCGCCGUCGCCGUUUCCCCGACAUCGUCCACGACUCCUUCGUAGGCUCGUAGCUCGUCCAAAUAUAUAUCUCUCUCUCCCCGCCUCUCACGCCGUUAGCGCGCCCGUUAUCUCGGUCUACAAACUAUACUUGGAUGAGCCAGCAACUCAUACCGAUCUAGAUAUUUCUCGGUAUCUCUCUUAACUAUUUCCUUUUUUUGGUUCAUUUUAACUUAACAAAAAUAUGAUCAAACGAUGCGAGAAAUACACUCCUAAUUUGUCUGUAACGAUGUGCUCGACUUUAACUAUUGUUGCUCCUGAAAAUUGUUAUUUGCUCAUUUUUCUUCAUAUUGUUGUUGUUUUUUUUUUUUUUUUGGUUUUCAAACCACAGGUACUUUGACCUGAUUAAACAAUCAGAUGAGGUGGUUAGAGAAAUUGUUAGAUUCCAGUAGUACAAAUGUUGAGAUUAGGAAGGGGAUCUCUUUGUUGGUUUCAUCCAUCAAUCCGAAAAGUAGUCAUUAUAAUUUCACAGAGAAUUACAUUCAUCAUAUGCCAUCAAAGGUGUUUGAUCAUAGAUGGGCUACUACAUUGUGUCCAGUGAAUAUACCUUUAUCAGGGAGAGAAUCCACUUUUUUGCAACAUCACAAUCGAAGCAUUCGUAGUUCGUCGGGAGCUUCCUUUACCUCAUUUCGCGGAAUUGCGAACUCCGCUAAUGGAGAGAGCUCUAUUACUAGGGAAUGGCUCGCGCAGCUUUGGCGCGAAGAAUUGAGUAAAAACAAGAUUAGAAGAAGGAAGAGGAGGACGAGGAAUCAAGAAGUUGUGCAGUAUGUUGAAGAUUCUCCGGCUUCGUUCCGGUUCCUGUUCUUUAAACCGGCCGAGGAAUAUAUGAAACUUGAGAGAACUACUGAGCAGCCGCCAAUUAGUCAGUACGACGGCGAUCUUCUCUCUCCAAGUUCCCCUGAAGAGGCAAGAAGCAAUUUUUUUAUAUAGGACUCGAUUGUUACUGUUGCUGUUUUGUUGUUUCUGAAACUAGAUUCAAGCUCGCUAGAGCGUCCACUUCAUGCAAAAACUGCAGAAGAUGGCACGUUCUACAUCCUCGACCCCAUAUGCGGGGACGUAGUGGAUGAAUUGUUGCACUGAAUAGCGACUGUCAUUUGCUCCAUGGUUUUCCUUCGGGGGAAGCCGCAAUUUUAAGUAAUCUUAUCAUAUUGUUUUCUCUUCGACUGAACUAUCUCCAUUUACACGAUGGAACUUUGCUCGAUGUUUACAGAAUGAUUCUGAUUUUCUUUCAUACUCUUUAGGUCAAACUGGCGCCUCUUCUUUCGAGAGCCAAUCUGGUUAUUGCGAGAGACAUAGAAUGGGCGAAUAUUAUGUUUGCGUUUGAACAGGUGGUGUUUUAUUUUAUUUUUUCACUUGAUAAGGUGUAUUCGCUUCUUGACAUUGAAAUAUUUGUACUUUUUUUUUUUACCGGGCAAUUCCUAUCUUAUGUAACCUGCAUACUUGUUUUCAAGUUGUCUGUUGUGAUGAACAACUACCAUUUUCUCAAAUUGAGAAGAAUUCCAUUUCCAUAUCGUUAUUAGCAUGAAUAUUGAAAACUCAAGUGUUUCCAUUUGUUAUUUUUUUCAAUGUGAAAUUACAGGAAAGUCGAUAUGUGAUAAUGGAUCCUUACUUCCAUCAAUCUGUGAGUAAAUAACCUUGUUAGGCCGUUUGAGUGGAGGACAUUUAACACUUUUUUUUUUAAUCUAAAGGGACCGACAUGAAUUCUUCCUUUCUUUGCAGCCAGUGGGUUUUAUUAGGGAGCAAAGUAAUGUCAUCUUUAGGCAGGUAUAUUACUCUUUCCCCCUUACUCCUAAUUUGUUGCUUGAUUUGAUAUUGGGACUUUUGUAUAUAUCACUAUUCUUUCGCACUUAUGUAAAAUAAAUGUACUUGUUCACAACAUAGAAGUUUGAGUUCUUUUCCUUUUUUUUUUUUCUUUUUUUUUAGAAGCAUUUUGUUGUCCUUCGUCUAGUGAGUCUUUACGCUGCAUCUCAACAACUUUUACUCUUUUUGGUUUGAUCACAUAUAUUUCACCAUAAGUGAGAAAGAUAAUUUCCCAGCUGAUCACGUAUACUUCACCACGAGAGGAAAGAUAAAAUUCUCAGAUCUUGUUAGUUACUGAGGAUAGUUCAGAUUGAUGUGUACAUUAUGUUUCACUGUUUAAAGCAAUCAUUCAGCAGCUUGUCAGCAACUCGUAAAAAUAUAUCACCAAAGUUAAAUGACUGUAAUGACGAUUGUUAAUGUUUGGCUUGUAAUUUGUUUCUCUCUCUCUCUCUCUCUCUCUCUCUCUAAAUUAUCUGUGCUUCUGGGUUAGCUACAUUAGUCCAAACUGCUACUACAUUAGUCUGUUGAAUAACAAUAUUUGAAGUUUGGGCAUUGUAUUAAUGGAUUAAAAAUCUAAUCUUCUCAUGCGGAUUCUGCAGCUUAAUUAUAUAUUGUUUUCUGAAAAUGUUACGUACAGCUACUUCGUGCACGACGCCCAUUUGUUGCAUACAUAACUGAUGCCCUGGGCAAUGAAAUUUUUAGGGUAAGACCUAUUAGAAUGGGCCUUUUUCUUGCCUCGCAAUUCAGUCAAUUGCUGGUUCAUGUUAUAUUUACUAAGGUUUAGGUUCGCAGGCCUUUUUGGUGGAUAAACAGCACAAUCUAUGCCGAGGUAGAUGGUAAGGUAUGCAUUUUCAUUUUUAAGCCUGUGUUAUUCAAUGUUGCAGUUGAAAAAUCGCCCUGGAUGGAGGUAAUAUGAACAAACUACUUGAAAAUGAUUCCAGAUUUUUGUUGUUUGGAUUUUCCUUGUUAGGAAAUUGGUGUAGUCCAUCGACGUUGGCAUCUCUGGCGGCGAAUCUAUGAUUUGUACUUGGGGUAACUUAAAGCUUUCUUGCUCUUUUCUUUUCUUUUCUGUUUUUGAUAUACCUUUUUGUAUUUUCUGUCCAAUAUGUUGUUUUGUUCAACGUGAAUUCAUACAUUCUUAGUUUAAUAUAAGGGGAUGGUGAUCAUCCAUCGGAACUUGCUUGGCGUGAGCUUAAUAGCAAUACAAUGAUGAUAGAACCAUGAUAACCAUCGGAUGAUUUUUGAAUGCAGGCACGUACAUCUGUUUUAAAAAUUGAACUGUCAAGGAUGGAAUCGGGUAUUUUACAUCUAUUAGUAAGAAAAGAUCACGGCGUGAAGAUUAGUAAAUAUAGUAGAAAGCGAAUUCUUAUGAACAACAAUAUGAAUUAUUAGUGCAUUUUGAGGCUCAGCGUUUUUAUGAAUGCCACUCUUUUCUGGUAAGAAAGCUGACUGAAUUUCUGUGUCCCUAUACUCCCUUCGAAAAAUAGCCCUUUGUCCUCUUCGGUUUACGAUUCUUCUUGAGAAUGUUUUUAGUUCUUUAGUUUGAGCCUAAGAGUAGAUAUUAGUCUUAACUUCAAUGGAAGAAAACCUACUAUUAUUAGUGAUUUGAUAUAGCCAGUGAUCGAAAAGAGUAAGUUUGAAUUGUUGUUAGCAUUUGAUUGCAGGAACAAACAGUUUGCCGUAGUUGAAAACCCCGGUUUUUGGAAUUGGACAUUUACUUUGAAGGAUGAGGAUGACAAUGUGUUAGCCCAGAUUGAUCGGAAUUGGAGGGGCAUCGGUUUUGAGGUUUUUAUCUUACUUCAUUUCCAAACCUACUGUUCACAUCUCCGAGGGACUAAUAUAUAUCCUAAUCCUCUAGCAAUUUGAACGAAAACUGGAGAUAUUUUAUAUAUUUUCUUUUUUAAUUUUUUUUUCCUUCAGCUCUUCACUGAUGCUGGUCAGUAUGUGAUUCGUUUUGGGGCUGUUGGUUUGGAAAGGAAAUCUAGCUUGGCUUCACCUGUAAGCAUUUUUGUGGAUUGGGUGGCGUUUGCAAGCAAAUGUCUGCAUGUUCAUAUGUUCGUCUAUUUACCGUCUUUAGUUUCAUGAUCUCUGUUAUCGGAUGCUUUUCUAGAUCGAAGAAUUGGAAGUUGUUCGCCCAUUAACUCUCUCUGAGCGAGCUGUGGCUGUUGCUCUUGCCGUGUCUCUCGACAGUGAUUAUUUCUCCAGGCGUGGUGGAUGGUAAGUUUCAAACCUGAUCGAGUUUUUUUCUUUUUUCUUUUUUUUUUUUUCCUUUAGUUCAUUAAAUUUGGCCUCUUAUCAUGUAUGAGAAUUCUGUUUUUCUUUUAUAUCGAACUUCCGUUAUAUAUUAAAUGUGUUUUUGGCAUUAGCUGGGCUAAUCUUCUGGAAGCUUUUCUCACAUAUUCCCUACAAAUUUCUAUUUACGCCACUACACCCACUGACCCACAAAUGCUAAUUUCCACGAUGCUCCUCAAAUUGAAGUUCUUAACAUAUAUACUAUCCUUAAGUUGGAAAAUUAUCCAACUUUAUUGGAGAUAGUCGGUUUUGAAUGAAAAGAGAAUUUCUGCAGAGGACAUUAUGUAAGAAAUUGGUGUUUUGAAGAGCCUAUGAAAAUUUGGAAUUUGCACUGGUGUAUAGUUAAAAAGAAACUGAGAUUUCAAGGACAUGAAAUUUCUGAUUUUACAAGGUUUUAUGGUGUAAUUUGUAAUUUUUACUGUUUUAUCGCAAUUCGAUCUCAUGGUAAUCUUCUUCUAUUUUUGUUUUGUGUCUUCUUGUUUUUAAUCCUCACGCGAGCAAUUCUUUUUCUUUCAGGGGGCUGCCUAUUCUGAUUGCUGGCGAGUAAUGAUCUGCAGCUGGUUUCGACUUUGUUGCAGGAUUGGUAUACGAAAAAAAAAAAAAAAGUAGAAGAUGUUGAAUAACAAAUUUGUGCUUAUAGUCAAGCUGCUUUGAAUUUUCAGAAAGUGAUUGUGAAAUCACAAAAACAGUGAUAAUGUGGAAAAACUCGGAUUCAAGCUUAAUAAUGUGGGAUUCGUAUAUUUUGCAUCUGGAUGCCUAUGCAAACGGCCGCAGUUGGUCAAACAUUUGCUCCUUUUAUUCAAAUUUGUGAUUUAAAUGUCAAAAUCUUAAAGAAUUUAGGUUCAAAAAGACUGAUAAAAGAACCCAAACCAUUUUAGUUAGUUUCUAAUAUUGUUUGGUUUGAUUUGGUUUUGAAAAUUUUGGACGAGUCUGAAUACCACCCCCUCCCCUACCCCACCUCCAGAAAAGACAAUAAUUGAGUGUUAUUAUCCACAAAUUUUCUCCAGAAAAUAAAAAAGUUGUGGCCUUUUUUAUUUUUUAAAAUUAAAAUUAAUGUUACGCCACGAUAGAAUGUGGUAGACGCUGGUGGCCGGUGGUGAAACUCAAAAAAGCUACUGAAACAGAAACUUAAAAAAUGGGAGCGCUAAUAUUAACUAUCAAAAUUGACGAACCUGCAUUCUCUUCUGAAGGAGCUAUAGGGCUAGCGCGAGUAACUCUUUCCUACUACACAACUUGCAUCAGGUAGUUUGGACACAAUUGAUCAUAAGAGUAUUAAGAUUACAAUUAUAUUGGGAUUACAGGAUAUGCACAUGGUUCCAAAAUUACACAUUAGAAGAUCGGGCUUAGCCUCGUCAAAACCGUCUCUUCUGCUGGGGGUAUCCUGGGUUUUGCAUUACUCCAGGGUCUUUUCGUCUCAACUGUGAUUAGAAGAAACAAGAAAAGAAGGGGAAAAAAAAGAAAGAUUGUACAAUUAUACUGUAGCGAACAAACUGAGAGGAAGAGAGAGAGGGAGGGAGAUUUACCUGCUGUUGAGCGGCCGCACCCCUCGGCAUGGGAAUAUUAGCAGGGUUUAGACCCACCAUGCCAGGUUGGGCGGCAGCAUUAAAAGCGGCCAUGCUGGCGGCAGGGAUCCUCUGACCUCCAACCAUAGCUGGCAUCUGCCUCGCGACGGCCCUCGAGGCCGCCACUGAUUGAGCAGAUACACUGCCAGGAGGAGCAUUUCCAGAUGGCUGAAACAGAAGGUCAUAUUAGACUAGAGCAAACAAGGCGAUAGCAGAAAAUGACUGCAAUAAUAAUUCAUAAAUCAAGAAUUAGAUUCAACCAACCGAACAACGAUUGUUCAAUACGGAUAAGACUAUCCACCUAGAACAGUAGUUAGUACAACUCCCAGAUACAAAUCAACACCAGAAAAAUCCACCUAGCAUGGUUAGCAUUAUCUCCAGACAACUAUGCUGUAUUCUAGAUGACGAAUGCCAACAUGGUGAAUUAAAGAGCAUACAAUGACAAUUUAAAAGAACCCGCAAGAUCUAAUAUUUACAUUUGGUGCAGUUCAAAGCGAAUGACUGUGAAAACUCCUGCAACCUUAACAAAGGGAAGAGUGUGCAUCACCAUAUAUAUAUAUAGAGAGAGAGAGAGAUAGGCUCCUACGCUUUCAAAAGUACAGAGGCUUCUGUGCUUGUAAAUUACCUAUAUAGUUAUAUAUUUAGUUCAAGUAUGAGGUAUACCGGUUGAGGAGGUUGGAUGCUAGUCGUUCCUUCAAAAUCUGUAGUGGUGUCAACCGGACGGCCAGGAUAAUUUACGAUUUUUUCUCCUGGCUGGGAUGGCACAAGUGCGCUGGUCAUUUAGACAUUCACCAUGGUCAAUGUAAUAGCAUAAAUAACUUUGAUUUUUCCUGAUACUACAUCAGAAAAAAUAUCUAAGAUGAAUGUAGGGGUCAACUUACUUGCGCCCUGGAAGUGGAUCCAUCCGGAAAUACCUGAGAGGGACAUGAUCCCGCAUGGUCAAUGCAGAUACAUAUAUCAACAUAAUCAUGAAGCUUAUUUGCACGACAAAUAAUCAAAAGUUUACAUAUAACAGGAAUGAAAUCAUGUCAUGAUUUACAAAGAAUAAAUUAAAGAACCUCUAAAUAACCAUUUUUACAAAUUAGUUACCAAAUAAACAUCAUCAUGCUGUUUAAAGAUAUAUCAUAUAAACUAGUUUGCAGAAAGAUAAAGCAAGUUUAUAUUCCUACAACGGCGAUCGAUCCUUUCGACAUGAGAUUUAUCACAGAGAGCAGGUUCACACAGAACUGGACCAAGUGGUUUGCAUGUAUCACUUUCAAUGAAAACCAUACCAGGAAAGGAUUUCCCACAUCUGAUUUAUAUGCAUAAGUUUGAUUCAAAUAUAAACCAUUUAAAAGGUUAAAACAAGUGUGUGACUAGCUUCUGCAUGACUAGUUUAACAUAGCGGUCAAACAAAUAGAAAAAAAGAGCAUAACAACAUAUGUGAAUCAAGAAAAAUUAAAUAGCAAAGAGAGUUCAUUACUCAUGCUCCAGAGCUUGUGCUGCAGUUAUUCGCUUUCGCGGAUCAUAUCUGUCACACAUGAAUAAUUUAGAGGAUAAAUUGAUAAAAAAUAUGCUUAGCUUGAGUUUCAACAAAAACAUUAUGUCAUUGAUGCAUUUCUCAGCUACUCUGUCAUGCUAAGAUGCAUCUCAGAGAGCAAUUAUGAGUUUCAGCUACAAACUGCCACUAAUGAAAAAUCAGCAGCAGUGAAAUAGUUCACACAAAUACAGCAUAAAGAAGAAAGCAAAAAAGCAGGCACGGCAGUUUACAUAAAACGUACGGAGGAUACAGAGAGAAGAAACAAUCUAAAGAAGAUUAAUGACUGAUCAAUUGAAGAAAACUCAUGAAGCUUUCUACAACCCCCACCAAUAAGCUAUGGCAAGGAACAAAAAGACACGAGGUAUACCACAAAACAAUAAUUUAAAAAAAACAAGCAGCUAACAGAGGGAGGAAAAAAGGGAUAAAACAAAUGCAAAAGCAAGUACGGGAAAACAGCACGACAGACUCCUCACUUGAACCAAAAAGGUGGUAGGCAGGAUUCAUGCAGAGUAUUCAUUCACAAUCUAUUUAGAGGAUCCAGACCAAAAUGUACUAAUAUUAUAGUGUAAUAAUAUCAUGUAAUGAGCAGGAAACGAAUGAACAUUUAUAUAAAACAUGGAUAGUCAGAAGAGAAUUUUAGGGAAAAGGCAUCAUGCUCUGCCAGUCAGAACACUUUAUAUAAUAAGCAUGGACUAAAUAUCCAACUAUUAGCACAAAAUCAUAUGAACAGAUUAUACUUUCAUGAAUCAUAUAUGUUAAUAACGUAGAAGGUCUCUAUAGAUAAGAACAUGUAACGUACUCAAGCAUCUUUGACAGGAGAUCGAAUGCAGGACUCUUCGGAGCCAGAUGAACAAAAGUGUGGAGACCAGUGUUCUCACUGCAUAAAGAGAAGUACAUGAGUUCCAGAAUCAAAACUUAAAUAUAAGUCAAUAAUCUGUUACCUACGAUGACUGAACUUACUAUUUAUGCCCCUGAAUAUGUUGUUGGUCAUUUGCCCAAUGAGGAAGAUGAACCAAGGUCGGCCACUUCUCAGUUGUUGGGUGCCCUGAGAAGAAACACUACUGCUCAUUAUUGGUUAAAGAAGGUGUUCGGCAAAGCGUAACUGGGUUCAACCGAAGCAUUCUUACCUAAAACCUUGAAUAUCUUGUCCAAUUGAUCAAGCUAAAAAGGAAGAACAUAUCCAACUAUCAGAUAUCACCCGUUAGCACAAUUGUGGCAAAUAUCCGAUGCAAGAGACAAUCUCACAAGAGAAGUUGGAACAAAAUCAACUUCUACUGAAGUCUUCUAUGCGAAUACCGCACCAACAUUCAGAUUGGCACAAGACGAGAGAGAGAAACAAGUAAUAGAAGAUAUCCUUCAAAAAGAGAGAAUACGUACUUGAAAUGGAUUGGGAGUAGCUUUGACUUCCACCCCUUGGAACAAUGGUUUCAAAGUAAGCAACUCGGCAAAAAUGCAUCCAACCGCCCACAUAUCUAUUAACGGUUUAAGGAAAAUCUCGCGAUCAUAUUGACCAGUAACGUUGAUGAAAACUGUUUAACAACGGAUAUAAGGCCUAGAAUAUUAGCAACAGCCACAUUUUAAGCUAUAAAGGAUACCCACUGCAGUUGUGUAAUGUUUGGCACCAAGCAGCAGCUCAGGAGCGCGAUACCAGAUAGUUACCACAACCUGACAAUUGGUAAGCACCCGUGAAUACGAAUUAGGUGGAAGUUGUUUCCACAUUUUGACGCACACACAAAACACACACAGAAGAAGGCAGCCCAAGACCUUAAGUUAGGGUACCCACAGUUAAUCUGACCAUAGAAGAAUAUAGAAGUAGGACAGUAAAGUGAAGUUAUGCUCAAAUAGUGCGUCAAAUUAAUGGGAACAGACAAUGAGCAAUACAACCAAUUCCGAACAGAAGCGUUAUGCGCGAAUACAACGAAGAAAAAAAUUUACCCCAUUUUCAUACAAAGUUUUCAGCGGAGCUUGGUAUAUUCUGGCAAGUCCGAAAUCAGCAAUCUUCACGACUCCAUGCUCCUCUCCCUCGCCCAUGACCUAUUCACACCUUCGUCCCAUGUUAAGAGCCACAGGGAAAAAAAAAGCUUCUAAUUCCGUAGCGUAAAAAAUUUCACUUCAUGCCGAGUCAUACCAGAAUAUUAGAUGGCUUAAGAUCACGAUGAAUAAUCCAAUUGCUGCAACCGAAAGAGUUCGUAAAACUUUAGUGAGCAUAUCCGACACCAAAAAAAAAAAACAUAGAGCCCAAAUGUGCGCGUGAAACUCACCUGUGGAGAUAGUUGAGCCCGUUGAGCAGCUGCCAGAGCAACGACUUCACGGUGUAAGGAUUGAUGCUAAGGUUGAGCUUCUCCCUGUGAUGUCUUAUAAUCUCCUGUAGAGCAUCGGCAUUUGAAAAGCAUUUCAUAAACUUGCCAAAUACAAAUAUAUAAGGCCACUCGAUAUCCCCAAUCGCCCUAAGUUCGAUAAAGAACAAGUAGCAAACUUCUAAUAUCCCGUGUGCUAACACACCCGAAAUUCUUGUCGCGCCGCUAAGCUGCGUGCAAGCAGAGGAUAGGAUAUGCCGCCCGAUACCUACAUCGCCUAGUUAUCGACGUAUUACAGUUACUUGUAAAUAGCAAAAUGCGCCUAGCUUCGUUCGUUUUCAAAGACCAUAGGAAGUGAAUGAUAAAUGGACUUCCGAUCGAUCAGCAGGUCCAAUGAUAGAUCAGAUCAGUUUACACAAGCCGGUGCUCUUUACUCUUUGCAAAUUAAAACCCUAGAAAAAAUAAAUAAAAUCCAAAAAAAGAGAAGUAAUAGAACCCUAAAUCGGUGGGGGUGUCGGCGUGCGUACAUAGAGGUCGUGCUCGGCGUAGUCGAAGGCGAGGUAGAGGGACAUGUCGGCGUGGUUGAUGUGGACGUUGACGAGCUUGACGACGUUCUCGUGCGAGAUCUCCCUCAGGAGCUGCGCCGCCCCACCCAAAUCCAAUCCAAUAAAAUCGUGAGAUAUCUGAGGAAACGUGAGAUAUCUGAUGAGGAAGGAAAUUAGGGUUGGUGUUUUUUUGAGGAGACCAUGAUCUCGCGGAUGGCGGUGGGGGAGACGCCGUCGCCCUCCUUGGACUGCUUGAACUUCUUGAUGGCGAUGGAGGACUUGCGGUGCUGCUUGGUGCGCGCCAGGAACACCAGCCCGUACGUCCCCUCCCCGAUCUUCCCCACCAGCUCGUACUGCUGCAGCCACCGCUGUUGCCGCGCCCGUCCCCCAUCUCCCACGCCGACGCAGCCCAAACCCCCUCCCCCCACCCGCGCCACGCCUUACUCUUCCUUAAUUUUUCUUUUUCUUUUUCUUUUUUUCCUUUUUUCUUUUCCUGCUUCGCACGGCACGAGAUCACCAGAGAAAAUCUGGGCCGUUCUCUUUUUUUUUCCUUUUUUUAACGGUGGCUUUUUCCUAACUAAUUGUAUCGUAGAUCGGUCGGCGUAACUGACAUGUGGGGACGGCCCAAAUAGUAGUGUCGCUGGAUCUUCCCGUGUCUUUUAUCGAGGAAAACACUGCGUGCGUAUAUUCACGUCCAAAACUAAUUAGCAAACAUUGGAUCUUAUCUUUCUGAGAAUGGUUAGUGCAUGCUCUUGCAUGAGAUUAUUAUUAUUAUUAUACAUGAUUUUGCUAAUCUAGUAAAAUAAGGAAUUUAAAAACUUCGUGAAAACCUAUUUGUGUGAAAAUUUUGAAAAAGCUAAUUAUUGAUUUUUCUCUCCAUUGAAAUAAUAGUGUAAUUAAUGCUUACUGUUAAACUUGUCGGAGAGAUCAAAGAUUAAUCAUCUUAAUUAGAGGUUAAUUUGAGUCGUAUAUUAGUUUGAGUUUACUUUCUUGUGCAGUUAAAUUUCUGAAAUAUCUAAUAAACAAUGAUGAAGAGCGCCAUGGCUUGUUUCAAAUUCGAACUGAACCGUGCAGGGCCUGAGCUAACAACCCUCCGGCCCGGAAGACACGGGCUGCGCCGGGCCGGACCGUGCUCCGGGCAGACCCCUUAUCUUUUUAUUAUUUUAUUUUUUUUAAAAUGUAUAAUUUUUAAGAAUAAAAAUAAUAUACCAUUUCUAUUUAAAUUGAUAUUUUGAUUAAAAAUUUAAAAUUUAUAAAAAUAAUUAUAAAAAUACAUUUUAAAAACUUUUAAAUAAUAUAAAUUAUUUUUAUUAUUUUUAAGGUUCAAUGGACCAAACAAUUUUGGUCAGAGCCAAGCAACUACUUGGGCCGUCAACCUUGGGCCUUAGGCUUAGGUUCGAGGCAGUGCUGGCCCGGUCUGUUCUCGGCCUGGUACAGCCCAGUCCUUUUACGGGGCGGGCGAUCGUUUCCAAUUAUAGUGGCCCAGCGUGAUCCGUUUGGGCCGGGCGUCCCACGCCCGUUUUACAUCCUUCGCUUAGUAGUAGGACUAGAUGCGAGGGUCACAAAUACAUGUUAAUAGGUAGACCGAUUAGCCAACGGCUAUAUUUGGGGAAUCUUCAGAAAACUAGCCGUUGGAAACAAAUGAAAAAUUCGCUUACCGAAACCCUCCCUCCUCAUUCUACGUGUAUAUAAGCGACCAUAAACCCUCCCAAAUUUCCCAAGUAAUACGCUCCCCGCAAUCGCCAACUCUCUCCAUCGAGGAAGAAGAAAAGGGCUCUCUUUCUCCUUCCUCCCAAUUCGCUCCGUGGAAAUCGCAUCACAAAUCGCCCACUCCUCCUUUUCUGUUCCUUUUGUUUUCUUUCUUUAUCUUGCUAUCUUACUCUUUGCGUGCAGGGAUCUAUAUCUGUUAACAAUUUGUUUGUUUUAGUUUUUGUUCUUUUUUCUUCUUUUUUUUUCUUCUUUUGUGUGUCUGUGUGUGUGUGUUUGUUUGUUGUAAUCAUGGAUGCAGCUUCUUCCAUCUCGUCGGAGAAGUCGCGGAUCGCGUCCCGUCGCCCUCUUCAAGAUGUCGGCUCGAGGCCCUACAUACCUUCUCUGCUCACCUCCUCCAGGAACCCUUCUUCUUCCCGGCAAUACGUAAGUUAGGAUCCUUUUGAUAAAUUUGGUUUCCUUGAAACAACAAUUUUCCAGGUUCGCCUCUCAGGUGUUUGUUCUUUUACCCAUGAGAGCAUUGUUUUUUCCUUCCUUUUUUUUUUUGAAUUGUGUAUAAGUUUCUGAUACCUGUAUGAGUAUAUUUGAUUCUAGAAGUGUAAAUAUUAGAACCACUCUUGAAAAUUGGUUUCUAGAUGGAAAAUAGUUUUAAUUCAGUGCCAAUCCAGAUUUGCCCAUUAGAUAUUUGUUGCUUUAUCUAUAUCAUGAUUUAUUUUAGCAUGGCAAGAUUUCAAAUGUGUUCUUCUCCUAUGAAUAUAUAUGGACAGCGUUCUUAGAUUUUGGUAAUAGGUGUUUAUGUCUGUGCGAUCCUUUUUAGUUGGUAUUUCUUUUAAAUUGAUUUUCUAUCACUGUUUUGAAUCUUGGGUUUUGUUUCCUUUUCAUGUUUUGGUUAGUUUUUGAUAUACAUGUUUUUGAUUAAAAAAACUGGGUUAGUUUUUGAUAUAUAGUUUUAAUUCUUAAAGUGUGAGUUUUACGACCUUGUUAGAAUGUUUGUUUUGUCCACCUAUAUAGUAUCUUCCUUCAUCUCUUGAUUUCAAAGAUCUGUUUACAAAAUACUCUUCUUUAUCUAACAAUUUUCCUAUAUGUAAUGUUGUCACGCAUUUUCGCGAAUGUUUUAAUGAUCUGUUUGUUACAAUCACAGGGCGACAGGUUCAUCCCGGACCGCUCCUCUAUGGAUUUUGACAUGGCAUACUACUUACUAACUGAACCAAGAAAAGAGAAAGAGAACAUGGCAGUGGCCUCCCCCUCGAAAGAGGCAUAUAGAAAGCUUCUUGCCGAUACCCUUCUGAGUAACAGAUCCAGAAUACUCUCUUUCAAGAGCAAGCCUCCUGCUCCAUCCGAAGGCAUCUGUAAUGAAUUCAGCUCCAAUGUCACUUCUGCUGCUCAAACGAAGCCAGCGAGGCAGCGGAGGUACAUUCCCCAGGUAGGUUCUCUUCUCCGUUUACAUUUGGAUCUGUCUAGGAUUAAUAAAUUGCGUUACUUUGCUAAAUUUUCUAGCUAUAUUUCAUUUUUUUUUUCCAGUCAGCUGAGAGGACAUUAGAUGCUCCUGACCUCGUGGAUGACUAUUAUUUGAAUCUGCUUGACUGGGGAAGCAGCAAUGUUUUGUCGAUUGCGCUUGGCAAUACGGUCUAUUUGUGGGAUGCUUCGAGUGGGUCUACUUCUGAGCUUGUGACUGUGGAUGAUGAUAGCGGCCCAGUUACCAGUGUUAGCUGGGCUCCCGAUGGACGGCACAUUGCCGUCGGGCUGAACUCUUCAGACAUCCAGUUAUGGGACUCGAGCUCCAAUCAUCUGGUGAGUUUUUUAAUCUGCCACUUUUCUAGGUGUUUUCUAGUGUGUGCGUGCACAAUGCAUUUGUACUGUGGCUCUAGAUAAGCAGGCCGCUUAUAAGGUUUACUAUACUUGAUAAUAAGCCUGCAAAAUUAGUGAAUUGACGGUGUAUGUAUGUCAUAUGUGAGAUGCAGACUAAUCAUCUUAUGCUAAAAGUAUGGAGAGUAAUGUCAAAGUCCUUUACUUCAUUUCUUUGCACUUAUGUAAUCUGAACCUCUUCAUUUAUUUUGUUCUAAGCCUUGCAUCCUAAUUGCAAUCUAAGCUGUGAUCUAGCUGUGUAUGUUUCUAGGGAUACUUUUGAAGCCUUCAUUUGAUUUUCUGUACUUCUUGAAGUUUCAAUCCACUUACUUUAUGAGGACUUGAUCUAAGAUUGUUAUAUGGACUUAAUCCAGGUUCAUUUUGUAAAUUAGCUUGGACUUGAUCUAAGUACCUUUCCAGCUUGAUUUUGCAAUUCAAGAUUCAUUAUGGCUGGUAGAAGCUUGUCUGAGAAACAGCACACUACUCUACACAUCCAAAGUUAUUGGAUUAUUUUCAAUAUAAAAAUAUAGAAUAAAAUAAACGAUUAACUAUCAGAUUAUUCUACAAACUGCUUCUUAUAAACUUUUUGUAUUCUCUCUGGAUAAUGUUCCUAUCAUAUAUGGGUGUCUAAGCCCUUUCUUCUUUUGUAUUUACAGCUGAGAACUUUGAGAGGAGUUCACCAAUCUCGAGUCGGGUCCCUCGCUUGGAACAACAACAUCCUCACUACUGGCGGAAUGGAUGGUGCGAUCGUAAACAAUGAUGUCAGAAUAAGGUCACAUAUCGUUCAAACCUAUAGAGGGCACCAUCAAGAGGUCUGUGGCCUAAAGUGGCAAGGCUCCGGCCACCAACUGGCUAGUGGAGGUAACUUUAUAGAAAAAAAUUUGAAUUAAGUAGUUAUUUACAAAUGUUAGUGGACUCUCUCAGCUCGAAUUUAUUUGCAGGCAACGACAACCUCCUCCACAUAUGGGACCUCUCGAUGGGCUCUUCUUCUAAUUUGGCCCACAACCAAAAUCAAUGGCUUCACAGAUUCGAAGACCACAUGGCAGCUGUUAAGGCCCUAGCGUGGUGCCCAUUCCAAAGCAAUUUAUUGGCCUCUGGAGGAGGCGGGGGUGACCGAUGUAUUAAGUUUUGGAAUACCCACACGGGCGCUUGCCUUAAUUCAGUUGAUACUGGGUCUCAAGUUUGCUCUCUUUUGUGGAAUAAGAAUGAGCGUGAAUUAUUGAGUUCUCAUGGGUUUACGCAAAACCAGCUGACGCUUUGGAAGUACCCGUCGAUGGUGAAGAUUUCAGAGCUCACUGGCCAUACUUCUCGAGUUCUGUUCAUGGCUCAGGUACAUAUAUGCAUAUUAUGUAUUGAAUUAUUACUUGGCUUGGGUUGAAGUCAUAGGUAAUGGAUUAAACUGAUGAGUCUUCUUCGUCUUCUUUUUUCUUUUGCUCAGAGUCCUGACGGUUGCACAGUUGCAUCGGCUGCGGGGGAUGAAACUCUGAGGUUUUGGAAUGUGUUUGGGAAUCCUGAAACACCGAAACCCGCAGCCAAGUCAGCUAGUUUAGGGCCCUUUGCCAGUUUUAACCACAUUAGGUGAGGAGAAGGGGCAGAGAACAAUAUUUGGAGGUAUAUAUGAGUAUUGAGUAGUAACUUGGAGGAACAAUAUUGUGGUUACUGGUGAUGGGCUGAGAUGGGACAAAGGUUUCUAAUUUACUGAGGUAAGGUAGUGUUUGAUCAGACUCUGCUCUAUUUUGCUUUCUGUAGAAACACAUUAUCUUGACAUGUUUUUUGUUCGUCUCCUCUUGCAGGUCAUCUUCUGCUUGUUACAUAAUCAAUUUUUUUAGGUAAAUCAUUUCUUAGAAUCAAGCUUGAUAUAGAGUUGAACAAUGGUCGUAACUUUGAUAGAGCAUCAUAAUCACUAUACAUUGAAAGUUUUGAACAACCGCAAAUUAAUGAGGAAGUCACUGCAAUAAUAAUCACUAUACAUUGAAAGUAACUCAUUUGUAUCACGCAAACUUGUGUUUGUUUUAGUCAUCUUUUUUUGUUUUUGGCUAAAGCACGAAGGCAAAAUUAGUUUUUUAAAUUCAAAACUAGAAGUUCUAAUUGAAACUUCAUCUUCUGCCUCUGCAAGAAAACUUUUCGGGAGAUGUUAAUGAAAUAGCUGUUUAAGCCCCUUUUUUUUUUUUAACUUUUGCAAGAGCUCAGGUCAAACAGGAACUAAUACGUGAAUCUUUGUCUUCAUUUACCCCAUUUGUUAAUUGCUUUUCUUUUGCUUCUGCUGCUCUGAUAAUCAGAUUGCAUGUGUCAGCAUGGUAAUCUGAGGAAAUCCUAAAAUUCCAUACUCCACAAGAUUGAACAGCAUAUGGUUUUCAAUUUCAAGGGCAGGUUGUAGAAGAAUGUUACAGUGGCUUCAAAAAUGCUGGCUUGAUAACAAUGUCGGCGUCUGAUGGAAUUAGCUUCGAUGACGAGCUCUCAUCAACUGCAAAAGAAUCUUCAUUUUGUACAGUGAAUCAUUUCCUUUAUUAGAUUUCUUUUAUGAACCAAAAGUAGGUUCAUACUUCUGUUGCAAAUUAGUUGGUAGUGAAAAGUUUGAAAUUAUCCUCCCUGUGGAUGUAGGCAAUUGGCCGAACCACAUAAAUUUCUCGUGUCUGGUCAUGCUUUUUUCUUUCUUUUACUUCUUAAUUGGUGUUUCACUCUAUCUACUUCUUUUAGAUCAGCUGUUACUUGAGUUGCUAGUAGCGUCAGAAAUCACCUAGUCUUGGCAAACCGUUGCAUGCUGAAAAUUAGAUUGUAUUUGGUAUUAUACCAAGUGAGGACUCACUCUUUCUUAUCAUUAACCCAUUUUUCUGAUGAUUUUAGAGCAUAGCUGACACUUUUAAGUGAGCCUAGCUCGUCUUUACAUUAGCUGGAACUCUGGCAGAUCUAAAUUUUAGUAGGAAAUUAUCUAAAUGACAAAUUUUUGGGAUUCGUUGGAAAUCUUGUUCCGAAUAUUAGAUAAUGUUCAGCUGACAGAAGAGAUUGCUCUUAUGGCCAAAAUAAGAUAGGAUGGGAUGGAAGUAACAUGUCUAGGCUACAGAACAAAUAGUAAUGUGAAAAAAUAACUUAUUCGCCACAAGCUAAUAAACUGCAAUGGUGUUUUUGGAGGGCUUUAGUCUUGUGUACGUCCCUGUUGAUUGCCAUAUAUCAUGAUUCAUUGGGCGGGCGAUGAUCGGUUGAAUGAUUGCACAGUAUCAGUCACGCAAAGACACAUAAGAAGAGACUCCGAGAAUGGCAGUAAUCAGGGACAAUAUGGCAGCUUCUGGUAAGUCUCUGGACCUCAGGACAUAGCAACUCUUCUGUCCGCUCUGUCGGUGACGACUGUUCCAGACGGCAGCAGAUAUGAAGAUUGAAAACGCCAGUAUAAAUGUAAACCUGUGACAGAAGGAAUUCUCUCAUUCUUGAGUGUGAUGAUUGCAAAAGAAAAUGAAGAUCGUAUGAGGAACUCUAAAGCGUCAUUUGCUCGGCGUGCUCUGGCCAUUUUAAAUGUAGCAGAGAGAAUAAAACAUAAUAAUCUUACUUUGGAUGUUUUUCACUAUUCACCCUGGUUGCUUCUUUGUAGAUUGGAUUCUAGGAUAAGUGAUGUUUUUUGUGCUUCUUUUUACCUGGUAAUUCGAUUGCGAAAAUGGGCAAAAUACUUCUUUCCUUUUUAGGUUUCUCUGGGGCAUCUUACUCCUGGUUCAUUCUUGAAAAGGAAAGGAUAAGAGAAAAAGCAAAGCAAUAUCUUUUAACCAUUGAUACAUCUAAAAUAUCUGAUGCUAGGAUGCAAAGCUGUUCUGGCAGGUACAAUCACUAGUUCACUAGUGCUAGAUAAACUUCAAGAUCAAUUGAUGAAAGUAGAUGGCUUGAUUACCAAGAAACUAUGGCGGCGAUCAACCCUGAUACUCGACGGCAGUUCCACUUCCACUGACGAGUACUGCCUUUACAGCAGCAGCAGCAGCCGCAGCCUGUGGCGGCGCUAGCUAUUAACUGAGCAAAUAGCAGGGUCACGGCUGCUACAACCGCCAGGGCGGCAGCAGAGCUCUCUGGGUAAAUGCAGUCGCCUGAGGUCGUCAAUUGUACUUGCGAAGCCUGCGAGGUUAGGCAUUGAACUAUCAGUAAGAUCCACAAUAAAGACUUGUUCUUAACGGAGCUACGAGCGCUUAUCCUGGCUAUUUAAAACAGAUCAAUCAAUUCACAAAUGAAACAACUAAAAUGAGCUUUUGGAUUGAAACAGCCUAAAGCUAUAUCUAGUUUGAUUACGGCUUUUUAGCUACAUAGUACAUACAUACUAGCGGUCCUGUUAGCAUAUGUGGUUUUCGCGUGUGCAUCUGCGACGGCACAGAAAAUGAUGUAACAGGUUUACUUGGGACACUAAUAAAUUUAA